AUAUAUUUAGUAAUUUAUGUAUUUGUAACAUAAAUAAAGAAAUAUUUUUUCAAAUAAAUAAAUUAUUAAGAAUAAAAAAAGAGAAGAAAAGGAUUAAACAUUGCUCAUUUGGGAUAAGUCUUGGGUAAUAGUUGGAGAUGCUUUUUAGUUUAAUGUAAAAUUUGGUGUAAAAUGGUGCAAAACUUACCUCAAAUUUCGGUGCAGGUUGGAGAUGACCUUAGGCAUCUAAUAAGUGUGUGAAAACACGAUUAUCAAACACCCCAAACUUAAGAUCUUGUUCAUUUCAAGCAAGAUUAUCUACUAGCACAAUCCAACAGUAUGUGAUAAAGAUCAACAAUAUUAGAUAACUUGUAAAAAUAUCCACAAGUGUAAAAUUGUAUAGUCUCUAUUUGGUGGGGAUUAAAAUUUGAUUUUUAGUAGAUUUUGAAAAAAAUUGAUGAAAUGUGUGGGUGAAAAGUUGUGGAUCCAAUAAAUAUGUGAUUAAAAUUAAUUGUUGACUUUGACUUAGAUUAAAAUUUGAAUUUUGGUCCCUACCAAAUAAGGGCACAAUCAAUUUACAAAUAUGCCUCCAAAUAAUGCCCCAAAAAACAAAUUGAGUUUAUCCAAUAUUUGAUCAACAUGUGCAUACAUAGUCAUUUUCAAUCAUCACCUAAACUUGGAAAAAUUGUAAAGAUAGAAAAUUUUUCAAAUCGGUGUCAACUCGACCCUUAACGACCAUUUCUUUCUGUUAGAAUUUGGGUGUGGCCCGAAUUUAUUGUUGAAGUAAUUGAAGUGCAUGUCAAGAGGAACUCAAUUUUGGAAUGCUUUUGGAAUCACAUUCGAAAUUUAUUUGACAAAUUCUAAUUCAAAUUCUAUUUGGAAGUCCUAUUAAGAGUUGGAGCUUGUAUUGGACUUUAAGAGAUCAAGAUAAGAAAUUUUGGAGCAUUCUAUUUUAUCUACAACUCUACAUCUAGGGCUUGGAUUGUGUGUGUGUGUGUGUGUAUAUAUAUAUCUUCUCUGCAAUUUAGUAUGAGGAUAGUUUAACCUCAAAGAUUAUUGGAACUUUAGAUUCAUUGUGAG
Molecule: long non-coding RNA, 1059 nt
Filed under: Olea europaea subsp. europaea
Lineage: Eukaryota; Viridiplantae; Streptophyta; Magnoliopsida; Lamiales; Oleaceae
Source: RNAcentral